Molecule: non-coding RNA, 357 nt
Organism: Dermacentor andersoni
Lineage: Eukaryota; Metazoa; Arthropoda; Arachnida; Ixodida; Ixodidae
Source: RefSeq, a predicted model, not a curated record
UGAAAGCUAGGUUUCAGUCGUGAGCCAUGUGGAACACGUCUGCAUCGAAAUGGGAGCCGGGUCCUGCUGCAACUGGGGACAGCAAUACCGACAUGCAGUAAUGAGGAUGGCACCAGUAUAAAGCAACACAUUCCAUGCACUAAACAGAAGCUGCUGCCUGCUACAACAAGGUCAUUGUGUGGACUUUGGCUGCUACUACAAGAGUCUGUGCCAAGUACAUCUUGGUCAUCACGGGAGCCCCCAUCUACACCAACAGGAAGGGGCUGGAGCUGAAUUCACAAGACCACAAACAAAGAAGCCAUUCCAGAAUUAUUUGGAUGAGAUAUCAAGUCUACGGACGACUGUUUCAAGAGUGAA